GGGGGAGGUGCGGCACGUGUGGGAUAGGUAGUGGCGGCACACCUUGCUGAGUUAGGGUUUGUUGAUUUUUUGGUUAUUGGCCUGGGGACUAAUUUAGGCUUAGGAUUGGGUUUGGUUUUUGGGUUGUGUAAAUGAACUUUUAAUUUUUGGACUUUUAUUUUUUGGGGGGGUUUAUUUUUUGUUUAUUUUGGUCUUGGGCCCAGGCCAAAAUUGGCCCAUUAUAGCUACCCCUCUUUACUCAUUGUUGUGUAAUAGGAAUGGAGCAAAGAAAAAAGGGCCAAUUUUGUCUUGUCUAGCCGAGUCUUGACUUUCUUCGGUGUUUCUCUUCUAAGUAGCUUCAUUCCAAUCCACCAUAUCUUCAAG
This 363-nucleotide long non-coding RNA is filed under the name Gossypium raimondii (Peruvian cotton). Its description in RNAcentral is "long non-coding RNA (GRAI_LNC005748)". Lineage: Eukaryota; Viridiplantae; Streptophyta; Magnoliopsida; Malvales; Malvaceae. The record is from RNAcentral.